RNAcentral lists this ribosomal RNA (466 nucleotides) under uncultured bacterium. RNAcentral describes it as "bacterial SSU rRNA". It matches the Rfam family "Bacterial small subunit ribosomal RNA", at positions 32 to 524 of the family's 1533-position model. The record is from RNAcentral.
AAUCAACGCUGGCGGCGCGCUUAACACAUGCAAGUCGAACGAGAAAGUGGAGCAAUCCAUGAGUAAAGUGGCGCACGGGUGAGUAACACGUGGGUAAUUUACCUCCUUGUGGGGAAUAACCCUGGGAAACCGGGGCUAAUACCGCAUACUUCCGAGAGGAGAAAGCCGAAAGGCGCAGGGAGAGAAGCCCGCGGCCGAUUAGCUAGUUGGUAGGGUAAUGGCCUACCAAGGCGACGAUCGGUAGCCGGCCUGAGAGGGCACACGGCCACACUGGCACUGAAACACGGGCCAGACUCCUACGGGAGGCAGCAGUGGGGAAUCUUGCACAAUGGGGGAAACCCUGAUGCAGCGACGCCGCGUGAACGAUGAAGCCCUUCGGAUUGUAAAAGUCCUUUUCGGCGGGGACGAUGAUGACGGUACCCGCAGAAGAAGCCCCGGCUAACUUCGUGCCAGCAGCCGCGGUAAU